UUGAACGCUGGCGGCAUGCCUUACACAUGCAAGUCGAACGGUAGAGGGGCAACCCUUGAGAGUGGCGAACGGGUGAGUAAUAUAUCGGAACGUGCCCAGUCGUGGGGGAUAACGCAGCGAAAGCUGCGCUAAUACCGCAUACGAUCUAUGGAUGAAAGCGGGGGAUCGCAAGACCUCGCGCGAUUGGAGCGGCCGAUAUCAGAUUAGGUAGUUGGUGGGUAAAAGCCCACCAAGCCGACGAUCUGUAGCUG
RNAcentral lists this ribosomal RNA (251 nucleotides) under uncultured bacterium. Its description in RNAcentral is "partial 16S ribosomal RNA". It matches the Rfam family "Bacterial small subunit ribosomal RNA", at positions 30 to 289 of the family's 1533-position model. The record is from RNAcentral.